RNAcentral lists this ribosomal RNA (497 nucleotides) under uncultured bacterium. RNAcentral describes it as "partial 16S ribosomal RNA". It matches the Rfam family "Bacterial small subunit ribosomal RNA", at positions 28 to 507 of the family's 1533-position model. The record is from RNAcentral.
GAUGAACGCUGGCGGCGUGCCUAAUACAUGCAAGUCGAGCGAACAGACGAGGAGCUUGCUCCUCUGACGUUAGCGGCGGACGGGUGAGUAACACGUGGAUAACCUACCUAUAAGACUGGGAUAACUUCGGGAAACCGGAGCUAAUACCGGAUAAUAUAUUGAACCGCAUGGUUCAAUAGUGAAAGACGGUUUUGCUUUCACUUAUAGAUGGAUCCGCGCCGCAUUAGCUAGUUGGUAAGGUAACGGCUUACCAAGGCAACGAUGCGUAGCCGACCUGAGAGGGUGAUCGGCCACACGGGAACUGAGACACGGUCCAGACUCCUACGGGAGGCAGCAGUAGGGAAUCUUCCGCAAGGGGCGAAAGCCGGACGGAGCAACGCCGCGUGAGUGAUGAAGGUCUUCGGAUCGUAAAACUCUGUUAUUAGGGAAGAACAAAUGUGUAAGUAACUAUGCACGUCUUGACGGUACCUAAUCAGAAAGCCACGGCUAACUACGUG